GACGAACGCUGGCGGCGUGCUUAACACAUGCAAGUCGAACGGAAAGGCCCUGCUUUUGUGGGGUGCUCGAGUGGCGAACGGGUGAGUAACACGUGAGUAACCUGCCCUUGACUUUGGGAUAACUUCAGGAAACUGGGGCUAAUACCGGAUAGGAGCUCCUGCUGCAUGGUGGGGGUUGGAAAGUUUCGGCGGUUGGGGAUGGACUCGCGGCUUAUCAGCUUGUUGGUGGGGUAGUGGCUUACCAAGGGUUUGACGGGUAGCCGGCCUGCGAGGGUGACCGGCCACAUUGGGACUGAGAUACGGCCCAGACUCCUACGGGAGGCAGCAGUGGGGAAUAUUGCACAAUGGGCGGAAGCCUGAUGCAGCAACGCCGCGUGCGGGAUGACGGCCUUCGGGUUGUAAACCGCUUUCGCCUGUGACGAAGCGUGAGUGACGGUAAUGGGUAAAGAAGCACCGGCUAACUACGUG
RNAcentral lists this ribosomal RNA (468 nucleotides) under uncultured bacterium. RNAcentral's name for it is "partial 16S ribosomal RNA". It matches the Rfam family "Bacterial small subunit ribosomal RNA", at positions 28 to 507 of the family's 1533-position model. The record is from RNAcentral.